GAAUCUUGCACAAUGGGCGAAAGCCUGAUGCAGCAACGCCGCGUGCGGGAAGAAGGCCUUAGGGUUGUAAACCGCUUUCAGCAGGAAAGAAAAUGACGGUACCUGCAGAAGAAGGUGCGGCCAACUACGUGCCAGCAGCCGCGGUGACACGUAGGCACCAAGCGUUGUCCGGAUUUAUUGGGCGUAAAGAGCUCGUAGGCGGUUCGGUAAGUCGGGUGUGAAAACUCUGGGCUCAACCCAGAGCGGCCACCCGAUACUGCCAUGACUAGAGUGCGGUAGGGGAGCGGGGAAUUCCUGGUGUAGCGGUGAAAUGCGCAGAUAUCAGGAGGAACACCAGUGGCGAAGGCGCCGCUCUGGGCCGUAACUGACACUGAGGAGCGAAAGCGUGGGUAGCAAACAGG
Molecule: ribosomal RNA, 401 nt
Filed under: uncultured bacterium
Lineage: Bacteria
Description: bacterial SSU rRNA
Rfam family: Bacterial small subunit ribosomal RNA
Source: RNAcentral